UACGUAGGGUGCGAGCGUUAAUCGGAAUUACUGGGCGUAAAGCGUGCGCAGGCGGUUUGCUAAGACCGAUGUGAAAUCCCCGGGCUCAACCUGGGAACUGCAUUGGUGACUGGCAGGCUAGAGUAUGGCAGAGGGAGGUGGAAUUCCACGUGUAGCGGUGAAAUGCGUAGAGAUGUGGAGGAACACCGAUGGCGAAGGCAGCCUCCUGGGCCAACACUGACGCUCAUGCACGAAAGCGUGGGGAGCAAACAGG
This 253-nucleotide ribosomal RNA is filed under the name uncultured bacterium. Its description in RNAcentral is "partial 16S ribosomal RNA". It matches the Rfam family "Bacterial small subunit ribosomal RNA", at positions 524 to 776 of the family's 1533-position model. The record is from RNAcentral.